Acanthosepion pharaonis is the source of this 87-nucleotide non-coding RNA. NCBI's taxonomy places the organism in Eukaryota, Metazoa, Mollusca, Cephalopoda, Sepiida, Sepiidae. The record is from the annotation of a GenBank genome assembly.
GGUUCUCAUACAACUACUGAAGUUAAGCAACAUCGAGCCUGGUCAGUACCUAGAUGGGUGACCACUUGGGAAUACCAGGUGUUGUAA